This is a long non-coding RNA of Drosophila erecta, 435 nucleotides long. RefSeq lists it as uncharacterized. Lineage: Eukaryota; Metazoa; Arthropoda; Insecta; Diptera; Drosophilidae. The record is from RefSeq and is a predicted model, not a curated record. The transcript has 3 exons.
AAAUAAUUCAUUAUCUGACUUUCCUGCCCGCAAUGUCAAGGACGUUGUCGCAUUGUCGUUGCCAUCCACGAGGCUGAAGCUAAUUUCAUUGAGGAGGAAAACGAGGGGAUCCUGCGAAGGCUGGCGCCCAGCGGUGGGAAUUUCAUCAGCUGUUGUCGUUGUUUAUUUCGCAGCAGCAGCCCAAUAAAAAUGCAAUUUUUAUGGUUAAGAAAAUAGAGCGCGGCCGCCGUUGUGUUGCACAUUGGAAAUUGUGCAGAAGCCAGAAGAAAAUGUGUCUUGGAAAAUGGAAAAGCACGAGCAGCAGCAGCAGCAAUAACAUUGAGCCAGUGAUGUAAUACAGAGCAAAAGUGAAGCGGCAAUUGGCAUUGCAAAAAAGAAACAGAUUAUACAAUUUGUGUUGCUGCCGCACUGAACUAGGACAACAGCAGCAACAAC